This is a non-coding RNA of Punica granatum (pomegranate), 2806 nucleotides long. The record is from RefSeq and is a predicted model, not a curated record. Lineage: Eukaryota; Viridiplantae; Streptophyta; Magnoliopsida; Myrtales; Lythraceae.
AUCAAGAUCAUAGAUUAGAGAGGAACAAAACAGGUUGGAAAGUCGAGGAGAAAUCACAUGAUAAUGGGCUGCAAAAAUUUCCAGAGAUGCAGAGCCUUUCACAUUUACAGAUUACAGGUUGAUGGUUUCAAAACUUCCAACUCAACAAAUGGACGUAUAACGGAAACUGUUGUGCAAGUAGGAAAAAUUGGCGAUACAAUAAAAUAAUCUGGGACGCCGGGUUAUUUUGCGGCAAGCAAACUCGUUCACUUUCUUAGGAUACUUGAUUAUUCGAAAAAGUACUUGCUGAUAAGACAGGAACUUUAACCUGCGUUUCUACGGAGUUCGUUAAGUGUUCUAUCGUGGACUGCCUGUGGGCUUGCAGUCACGGAGAAUGAGGAGGGCUCUGGAGCAAAGUCAGUCUUAUGGAUACAAUCCUACUGAGCAUUCGGAUGAGGCUAGAUAAUCGUCCGAUAAGGGCUACGAUUUUAAUGAUGAGAGAUCGAGAAUGUCAAAUGGGUGAAGAAGAAAACACUCGGACGUGAUUCCAAAAUUCCUCUGUUUACAGGCACUUAGUCCCACAGCCAUUCCCGAACUAGGAAAGGAUUGUACGAAGCUGGAGUCACCAGGUGAAGCUGCUUUCGUAAUUGCAGCAAGAGAGAGCUCAUGUUCGAGUUUUUAUCUUAACAUUUCAAAUUGAAUGAUCUAUCAGCUUUUAAAUGUCCUAGAAUUCAACAUGUCAAGAUCUGUAAUUGCGAAGCAUUCAUUACUUUCUUUGUGUAAUGUUUGAAAGGCUUGCCAAAAGCGGUGGGCGGUUAGAAGAGGAUACCACGGGAACAUGUUUAGGCCUAUGCAGAAGCAGGACCGAGGACCCUCAUACUUACUUAUCUAGACCUUGAUGAGGAAGAAUACAGAACUUUCAGCAAGAACUCAGGGGGUGUAGCAUCUGCUGAUCGCAAUCCACUUGUCGAUGGGGUGACCAAGGUUCCCGAUUGCAUCCACAAGCUUGCGCAAGUUGGAACCAAGAUGUGGGUUUUUGACUGGACAAGACGGGGACUAGAAUCAAUAUCAGGUACGAAGUUUUGCAUCAGCCCCCUACAAUUGAGCAGAAAAUAUGACAGCAAUAUUGAAAAAUUUCUGUCAGCUUACAAAUAUAUGAAUGCCCAAGCUUGCUUGUAGCCUUCUUAGGCAAGGAAUGGAGCAGAUCUUGUAGGAUUCCAAGGAAAGUAUCGAUCAGCAGAUAACAUAAGGGAGGUCCCUGAUUGGUGGAAGCUCGGAAGCAUUUGCUUUGAGUCUCUGACCAUCGAUAGGAAACCGCUGACUUAUGCUCUGGAAGAUGAUAUCAAGGACAAAAUUAUGCAGCUUGCAGUUGGUUGUUCGUCGGUCAUUUGCUGCAGUUGCAUCACCAAAACAGAAGGCAUUGGUAAUUUCGCACAUAUGUAUUCUCACACACAGUGUUUCGCUCUGCUUUAAUCAGUUGAACCGACUGAUGAACGAGGUCACUAGACUAGUCAAAUCUGGGACUGGGCGAUGGAGCCAACAGGUUGGAAUGCUUCAAGAAGCAGAUAUUGGAUUGGAAUUAGCGAUUUUCAAGGAAUGCAGGUGAUUAGACACUUCUUUUUUGUGUUUCCUUGAAAUCGAUGUUUUUCUAUUAAUGUAGGUGCGCAUACAUAUAGAUAUAUAUCUCUAUGCUCUCAUAUGAAAUUUCAGACCGUCAUGUCCAGCAAUGUAGUCAUAGCUCGGUUCUGGUACUUGGUAAGGUCGCUCCGCGUGCAUGGGCAUCAUUGUUGCAGGGGGGUCUCAUCAGUUCAACAAGAACAUCGCGUCAGGCACAGCGCCUCGUUUUCAGCACAACCCCUCAAUGACUGGCCUCCUAUCGCUCUACAAUAUUUUCUUUAUCUCACUUCCAGUCUUCAAUUCUCAAUCUGGAUGUAUCUGCAAGGUUCUGCAUCAUGUUCCUGAGGUUAUACCAACAAGGAGUUCAGGACGUCCUCUUCGGCUGAUCGCGACUCCCCAGUUGGAUGUUCAACAGACUUUUUAGUGCAGUGAGUGUAUUCUUCCUCUGCAGGGCAACCUAGAGCCUCAGGCCUCCAACCCAGAUGGUCAAGUUGCGGGACUGUGAAAUCCUCAGGCCUCUAAUGUACACUUGCAUCGUGUGGAUUGUGAACCUGCAAGGGGCCUGUCCAUCAGCUACUUCAGGAUGACACAUUACUUGCUCAAAAUGGGGCUCCAUCGUCCUCUAGUACCUCUUCCUCUUAGUCGACGGGGCCAUCUCCCCAACUAUCUUGAGCACUGCCUACAAAAUCCUCAUCAAAGCUCUAGCCUCCUAUCUUCUCGCUUGUCAUCCCAUUCGUAAUGAUCUCGACCUGAAUCCCAUAUUUGCCUUCCUCAGCCAUUCAAAUGUGAAUCUUCCCGAUGUAUCAUGAGAUCAUACAAUGGAUAAGGCAUGAGCAGAAACAGCACGAUCCCAAGCUCCCUGACAUGAUCAGGCCCGUGGGCUGUUUAUCUUCAAGGUCCUACCUAGUGGAAGAGAAUUACGCACCACACUUCCAGAUGAUCUUUUCUUUUUUCCCGUCUUUCCAACUUUGAAAUUAAGGACUCAGCAGGGUGGUUCUGGCACAUCUGAUAUUUUAGCAUGUGCCAUAAAGUUUCAGUUUUUAGGUGAUCAUAGGCUUCACUUGUAAAGUGUUACAGCUACGGAUUUCAUAUCAUUUUCUAAAUUUGUGCAGAAAAGAACAGCGGGAGGGUUAGGAAGUUCAUCAUUGUUGAUUGUAUUCGAAAAUUUGCAGCAUGUCUCGAUAAUUAACAAAGAGGAAACUCCUUUGAC